GACGAACGCUGGCGGCGUGCCUAAUACAUGCAAGUUGAGCGCUGAAGGUUGGUACUUGUACCAACUGGAUGAGCAGCGAACGGGUGAGUAACGCGUGGGGAAUCUGCCUUUGAGCGGGGGACAACAUUUGGAAGCGAAUGCUAAUACCGCAUAAAAACUUUAAACACAAGUUUUAAGUUUGAAAGAUGCAAUUGCAUCACUCAAAGAUGAUCCCGUGUUGUAUUAGCUAGUUGGUGAGGUAAAGGCUCACCAAGGCGAUGAUACAUAGCCGACCUGAGAGGGUGAUCGGCCACAUUGGGACUGAGACACGGCCCAAACUCCUACGGGAGGCAGCAGUAGGGAAUCUUCGGCAAUGGACGAAAGUCUGACCGAGCAACGCCGCGUGAGUGAAGAAGGUUUUCGGAUCGUAAAACUCUGUUGGUAGAGAAGAACGUUGGUGAGAGUGGAAAGCUCAUCAAGUGACGGUAACUACCCAGAAAGGGACGGCUAACUACGUG
This 497-nucleotide ribosomal RNA is filed under the name uncultured bacterium. RNAcentral describes it as "partial 16S ribosomal RNA". It matches the Rfam family "Bacterial small subunit ribosomal RNA", at positions 28 to 507 of the family's 1533-position model. The record is from RNAcentral.